UUAACUCGGAUUUGUGUAGAGUUGGAACGUUGGCCUACGUUUGCCGCUAGGGGCGUUGUUCUAACUGCAUACGAAUUUGAGUUA
This 84-nucleotide microRNA precursor is filed under the name Bombyx mori (domestic silkworm). Its description in RNAcentral is "mir-2807 microRNA precursor family". It matches the Rfam family "mir-2807 microRNA precursor family". Lineage: Eukaryota; Metazoa; Arthropoda; Insecta; Lepidoptera; Bombycidae. The record is from Rfam by way of RNAcentral.